RNAcentral lists this ribosomal RNA (261 nucleotides) under uncultured bacterium. Its description in RNAcentral is "partial 16S ribosomal RNA". It matches the Rfam family "Bacterial small subunit ribosomal RNA", at positions 149 to 412 of the family's 1533-position model. The record is from RNAcentral.
CGGCGAAAGCCGGAUUAAUACCGCAUGAGACCUACGGGUGAAAGCGGGGGAUCGCAAGACCUCGCGCUAUUGGAGCGGCCGAUAUCAGAUUAGGUAGUUGGUGGGGUAAAAGCCUACCAAGCCGACGAUCUGUAGCUGGUCUGAGAGGACGACCAGCCACACUGGGACUGAGACACGGCCCAGACUCCUACGGGAGGCAGCAGUGGGGAAUUUUGGACAAUGGGCGCAAGCCUGAUCCAGCCAUGCCGCGUGCGGGAAGAA